Molecule: ribosomal RNA, 253 nt
Filed under: uncultured bacterium
Lineage: Bacteria
Description: partial 16S ribosomal RNA
Rfam family: Bacterial small subunit ribosomal RNA
Source: RNAcentral
UACGUAGGGGGCAAGCGUUGUCCGGAAUUAUUGGGCGUAAAGCGCGCGCAGGCGGCCUAUUAAGUCUGAUGUGAAAGCCCACGGCUCAACCGUGGAGGGCCAUUGGAAACUGGUAGGCUUGAGUGCAGGAGAGGAGAGCGGAAUUCCUGGUGUAGCGGUGAAAUGCGUAGAUAUCAGGAGGAACACCCGUGGCGAAGGCGGCUAUCUGGACAGAGUCUGACGCUGAGGCGCGAAAGCCAGGGGAGCAAACGGG